RNAcentral lists this ribosomal RNA (255 nucleotides) under uncultured bacterium. RNAcentral describes it as "partial 16S ribosomal RNA". It matches the Rfam family "Bacterial small subunit ribosomal RNA", at positions 524 to 776 of the family's 1533-position model. The record is from RNAcentral.
UACGUAGGGGGCAAGCGUUGUCCGGAUUUACUGGGCGUAAAGCGCGCGUAGGCGGAAGGUGAAGCGUGGCCUGAAAGCCCCCGGCUCAACCGGGGAGGGCGGCUGCGAACUGGCCUUCUUGAGGGCGAUAGAGGGGGGCGUGGAAUUCCGGGUGGAGCGGUGAAAUGCGUAGAGAUCCGGAGGAACACCGACGGCGAAAGCACUCUGCUGGGCCGACACUGACACUGAGAGACGAAAGCUAGGGGAGCGAAUGGG